AUGGGGUCCAAACCGUUCUUCGCCUGCGCCGUCCUCCUGAUCGCCAUCGCCGCCGCGGCAGUCACGCCGGCGUCCGCGGCCGGAGCGAACCCCAUCGCCAUGGGCGGUGGCUCCGACGAGACGGCAACAACAUGCGUGCCGACGCUUGAGCGCCUGCUGUCGUGCCUGGACUUCAUCGAGCACCGCACCGACGCGAUCCCGCUGCCCUGCUGCGUCCAGGUGAACACCACGGUGGCCCAGCAGCCGUGCUGCCUCAUGCACGUCCUGCGCGGCGACGUCGCGCGGCUCAUGGGGCCGGACUUCGACAGCACCCGCGCCAUGGUCAACGUCACCUCCCAGUGCCUCGGCGACGGCUCGAUCCUCAUGUCCAUCACUCGUUCGUGCGCAGGCAAGCCGCUUCCGCCGCUGACGCCUGAAUACCCCUUCACUGCCGCGUUGCCGCCGCCGCCGCCGUCAUCGUCAGGAGCAGAACGGCUGGAAGGCUUGUCUUACGCCGUAUUGCUAGUUGCACUCGUUGCAAGCUUCUUGUGA
This 531-nucleotide ribosomal RNA is filed under the name Triticum aestivum (bread wheat). RNAcentral's name for it is "partial small subunit ribosomal RNA". The record is from RNAcentral. Lineage: Eukaryota; Viridiplantae; Streptophyta; Magnoliopsida; Poales; Poaceae.